CCUACGGGCGGCAGCAGUGAGGAAUAUUGGUCAAUGGACGAGAGUCUGAACCAGCCCAGUAGCGUGAAGGAUGACUGCCCUAUGGGUUGUAAACUUCUUUUAUAUGGGAAUAAAACAGGGUAUGCAUACCCUCUUGUAUGUACCAUAUGAAUAAGAAUCGGCUAACUCCGUGCCAGCAGCCGCGGUAAUACGGAGGAUCAGAGCGUUAACCGGAUUUAUUGGGGUUAAAGGGAGCGUAGGGGUGUUGUUAAGUCAGUUGUGAAAGUCUGCGGCUCAACCGCAAAAUUGCAGUUGAAACUGGUAGUCUUGAGUACAGUAGAGGUGGGCGGAAUUCGUGGUGUAGCGGUGAAAUGCUUAGAUAUCACGAAGAACUCCGAUUGCGAAGGCAGUUCACUGGACUGCAACUGACACUGAGGCUCGAAAGUGUGGGUAGCAAACAGGAUUAGAUACCCUUGUAGUC
RNAcentral lists this ribosomal RNA (460 nucleotides) under uncultured bacterium. RNAcentral's name for it is "partial 16S ribosomal RNA". It matches the Rfam family "Bacterial small subunit ribosomal RNA", at positions 338 to 795 of the family's 1533-position model. The record is from RNAcentral.